RNAcentral lists this ribosomal RNA (236 nucleotides) under uncultured bacterium. Its description in RNAcentral is "partial 16S ribosomal RNA". It matches the Rfam family "Bacterial small subunit ribosomal RNA", at positions 118 to 351 of the family's 1533-position model. The record is from RNAcentral.
UGAGUAACCUGCCCUUAAACUCUGGGAUAAGCCUGGGAAACUGGGCUAAUACCGGAUAUGACUCCUCAUCGCAUGGGUGGGGGGUGGAAAGCUUUAUUGUGGUUUUGGAUGGACUCGCGGCCUAUCAGCUAGUUGGUGUGGGUAACGGCCCACCAAGGCGACGACGGGUAGCCGGCCUGAGAGGGUGACCGGCCACACUGGGACUGAGACACGGCCCAGACUCCUACGGGAGGCAG